RNAcentral lists this ribosomal RNA (406 nucleotides) under uncultured bacterium. RNAcentral's name for it is "partial 16S ribosomal RNA". It matches the Rfam family "Bacterial small subunit ribosomal RNA", at positions 30 to 526 of the family's 1533-position model. The record is from RNAcentral.
AUUGAACGCUGGCGGCAGGCCUAACACAUGCAAGUCGAGCGAGCGGCGGACGGGUGAGUAAUGUAUGGGGAUCUGCCUGAUGGAGGGGGAUAACUACUGGAAACGGUAGCUAAUACCGCAUACCAUCAGAUGUACCCAGAUGGGAUUAGCUUGUAGGUGGGGUAAUGGCUCACCUAGGCGACGAUCCCUAGCUGGUCUGAGAGGAUGAGCAGCCACACUGGAACUGAGACACGGUCCAGACUCCUACGGGAGGCAGCAGUGGGGAAUAUUGGACAAUGGGCGAAAGUCUGAUGGAGCCACGCCGCGUGUAUGAAGAAGGUCUUCGGGUUGUAAAGCACUUUCGGGGGAGAGGCGGUACCCGCCGAGGAAGCAACGGCUAACUACGUGCCAGCAGCCGCGGUAAUUC